Molecule: ribosomal RNA, 472 nt
Filed under: uncultured bacterium
Lineage: Bacteria
Description: bacterial SSU rRNA
Rfam family: Bacterial small subunit ribosomal RNA
Source: RNAcentral
CUGGCGGCGCACAUAAGACAUGCAAGUCGAACGAACUUAACCAUAGUUACUAUUGGAGCGGUUAGUGGCGGACUGGUGAGUAACGCGUGAGCAACCUGCCUAUCAGAGGGGAACAACAGUUAGAAAUGACUGCUAAUACCGCAUAUACCUAAGCAUCGCAUGGUACAAUAGGGAAAGGAGCAAUCCGCUGAUAGAUGGGCUCGCGUCUGAUUAGAUAGUUGGUGGGGUAACGGCCUACCAAGUCGACGAUCAGUAGCCGGACUGAGAGGUUGAACGGCCACAUUGGGACUGAGAUACGGCCCAGACUCCUACGGGAGGCAGCAGUCGGGAAUAUUGCGCAAUGGAGGAAACUCCUGACGCAGUGACGCCGCGUGCAGGAAGAAGGUUUUCGGAUUGUAAACUGCUUUAGACAGGGAAGAAAAAGGACAGUACCUGUAGAAUAAGCUCCGGCUAACUACGUGCCAGCCGCCGC